AUAUAUUUGCCACUAAACCUAAACUCUACACCAUAAAUCCCAAAACCUAAAAUCUAACCCCUAAACCCUAAAUCUUAAACCCUAAACCCUAAAUCUUAAACCCUAAACCCUAAACCCUAAACCCUAAACCCAUAACUUUAAAAC
RNAcentral lists this small RNA (144 nucleotides) under Arabidopsis thaliana (thale cress). RNAcentral describes it as "ATSL038940". The record is from RNAcentral. Lineage: Eukaryota; Viridiplantae; Streptophyta; Magnoliopsida; Brassicales; Brassicaceae.